GAUGAACGCUGACAGAAUGCUUAACACAUGCAAGUCAACUUGAACUUCGGUUUGGGUGGCGGACGGGUGAGUAACGCGUAAAGAACUUGCCUCACAGAUAGGGACAACAUUUGGAAACGAAUGCUAAUACCUGAUAUUAUGAUUUUAGGGCAUCCUAGGAUUAUGAAAGCUAUAUGCGCUGUGAGAGAGCUUUGCGUCCCAUUAGCUAGUUGGAGAGGUAACGGCUCACCAAGGCGAUGAUGGGUAGCCGGCCUGAGAGGGUGAUCGGCCACAAGGGGACUGCGACACGGCCCUUACUCCUACGGGAGGAAGCAGUGGGGAAUAUUGGACAAUGGACCAAGAGUCUGAUCCAGAAAUUCGGUGUGCACGAUGAAGUUUUUCGGAAUGUAAAGUGCUUUCAGUUGGGAAGAAAAAAAUGACGGUACCAACAGAAGAAGUGACGGCUAAAUACGUG
This 454-nucleotide ribosomal RNA is filed under the name uncultured bacterium. RNAcentral describes it as "partial 16S ribosomal RNA". It matches the Rfam family "Bacterial small subunit ribosomal RNA", at positions 28 to 507 of the family's 1533-position model. The record is from RNAcentral.